UACGGGGGGGGCAAGCGUUGUUCGGAAUUACUGGGCGUAAAGGGCUCGUAGGCGGCCAACUAAGUCAGACGUGAAAUCCCUCGGCUUAACCGGGGAACUGCGUCUGAUACUGGUUGGCUUGAAUCCGGGAGAGGGAUGUGGAAUUCCAGGUGUAGCGGUGAAAUGCGUAGAUAUCUGGAGGAACACCGGUGGCGAAGGCGAGUCCCUGGACAACUCCUGACACUGAGGCACGAAAGCUAGGGGAGCAAACAGG
This 253-nucleotide ribosomal RNA is filed under the name uncultured bacterium. Its description in RNAcentral is "partial 16S ribosomal RNA". It matches the Rfam family "Bacterial small subunit ribosomal RNA", at positions 524 to 776 of the family's 1533-position model. The record is from RNAcentral.